RNAcentral lists this ribosomal RNA (520 nucleotides) under uncultured delta proteobacterium. RNAcentral describes it as "bacterial SSU rRNA". It matches the Rfam family "Bacterial small subunit ribosomal RNA", at positions 26 to 523 of the family's 1533-position model. The record is from RNAcentral. Lineage: Bacteria; Deltaproteobacteria.
AGAACGAACGCUGGCGGCGUGCUUAACACAUGCAAGUCGAACGCGAAAGGGAUCUUCGGAUCCCCGGUAGAGUGGCGCACGGGUGAGUAACGCGUAAAUAAUCUACCCUGGUGUCUGGAAUAAUUAGCCGAAAGGCUGACUAAUACGGGAUACAUGUUUGCCUGUUGGGGCAAACAGGAAAGGUGGCCUCUAUUUAUAAGCUAUCGCACUGGGAUGAGUUUGCGUACCAUUAGCUAGUUGGUGGGGUAAGAGCCCACCAAGGCGACGAUGGUUAGCGGGUCUGAGAGGAUGAUCCGUCACACUGGCACUGGAACACGGGCCAGACUCCUACGGGAGGCAGCAGUGAGGAAUAUUGCGCAAUGGGGGAAACCCUGACGCAGCGACGCCGCGUGAGUGAGGAAGGCCUUCGGGUCGUAAAGCUCUGUCAGCAGGGAAGAAGUGCAACAUGGCUAAUACCUGUGUUGUUUGACGGUACCUGCAAAGGAAGCACCGGCUAACUCCGUGCCAGCAGCCGCGGUAA